GGUGAAGGCCACGGAACGAUUAAUCCAUCGGAGGAUUAAGGCGUGUGAAUGUGCUGUUUAUAUUCUAAGGUAAUUGAUUAAUGCCGUUUUGUUAUUAGUUGUCGAAAAUAGCUUCAAUUAGUGUUGAUUUCACACAAUUGAUCUAUUUGGUUUGAUAAAAUCUUAGUUAUUUAUUCAUGUGAUUUAUUGAUUUAGGUACUAGAAUACACGAUUUUUUAUCCUACAUCGGAUUUUGACCAAGUGUGUAAUGAAAACUCGAGAAAUCAAUGAACGACUUAAAGUCAAAAUUGAGACUGUCGAUGCCACACAGUUGUGUUCCAGGCUAUGUGCGACACAUGACUGUGUACCAAACCAUGUGAGUUAUACGGUCUUGGCCAAUUGGGUUGUGUGGUCCUCACGAGCGUAUGGGCCACACAGGCGUAUGUGAGACUGUGUGUCAGGUCGUGUGGGCCCAAAUUUUGAAAAUUUUCCCUAA
RNAcentral lists this long non-coding RNA (475 nucleotides) under Gossypium barbadense (sea-island cotton). RNAcentral describes it as "long non-coding RNA (GBAR_LNC005192)". The record is from RNAcentral. Lineage: Eukaryota; Viridiplantae; Streptophyta; Magnoliopsida; Malvales; Malvaceae.